GGUGAGUAAUGUCUGGGAAACUGCCUGAUGGAGGGGGAUAACUACUGGAAACGGUAGCUAAUACCGCAUAACGUCGCAAGACCAAAGAGGGGGACCUUCGGGCCUCUUGCCAUCGGAUGUGCCCAGAUGGGAUUAGCUAGUAGGUGGGGUAACGGCUCACCUAGGCGACGAUCCCUAGCUGGUCUGAGAGGAUGACCAGCCACACUGGAACUGAGACACGGUCCAGACUCCUACGGGAGGCAGCAGUGGGGAAUAUUGCACAAUGGGCGCAAGCCUGAUGCAGCCAUGCCGCGUGUAUGAAGAAGGCCUUCGGGUUGUAAAGUACUUUCAGCGGGGAGGAAGGGAGUAAAGUUAAU
This 356-nucleotide ribosomal RNA is filed under the name Escherichia coli. Its description in RNAcentral is "bacterial SSU rRNA". It matches the Rfam family "Bacterial small subunit ribosomal RNA", at positions 105 to 464 of the family's 1533-position model. Lineage: Bacteria; Pseudomonadati; Pseudomonadota; Gammaproteobacteria; Enterobacterales; Enterobacteriaceae. The record is from RNAcentral.